RNAcentral lists this ribosomal RNA (210 nucleotides) under uncultured bacterium. RNAcentral's name for it is "partial 16S ribosomal RNA". It matches the Rfam family "Bacterial small subunit ribosomal RNA", at positions 129 to 334 of the family's 1533-position model. The record is from RNAcentral.
CCUGGUAGCGGGGGAUAACUAUUGGAAACGAUAGCUAAUACCGCAUAACAGUAGAUAUUGCAUGAUAUCUGCUUGAAAGGUGCAAAUGCAUCACUACCAGAUGGACCUGCGUUGUAUUAGCUAGUUGGUGGGGUAACGGCUCACCAAGGCGACGAUACAUAGCCGACCUGAGAGGGUGAUCGGCCACACUGGGACUGAGACACGGCCCAG